This 69-nucleotide transfer RNA is filed under the name Loxodonta africana (African savanna elephant). It matches the Rfam family "tRNA". From Rfam's summary of the family: Transfer RNA (tRNA) molecules are approximately 80 nucleotides in length. The record is from Rfam by way of RNAcentral. Lineage: Eukaryota; Metazoa; Chordata; Mammalia; Proboscidea; Elephantidae.
CCACUGGUGGUUCAGCGGUAGAAUUCUUGCCUUGCAUAUGAGACCCUGGUUCAAUUCCUGGCCAAUGAA